GUGCAGCAGUCGAGAAAACUUCACACUGUGCGAAAGCACGAUGAGGGAAUCCUAAGUGCUUGCACGUAAGUGUAAGCUGUUUCUCUGUCUAAAACGCAGAGAGAGUAAGGGCUGGGUAAGACGGGUGCCAGCCGCCGCGGUAAUACCUGCAGCUCAAGUGGUGACCGUUAUUAUUGGGCCUAAAACGUCCGUAGCCGGUUUAAUAAAUGCCUGGGUAAAUUGUGUAGCUUAACUAUACGAAUUCCGGGUAGACUGUUAAACUUGAGACCGGGAGAAGUUAGAGGUACUCCUGGGGUAGAGGUGAAAUUCUGUAAUCCUAGGGGGACCACCAGUGGCGAAGGCGUCUAACUAGAACGGGUCUGAUGGUGAGGGACGAAGCCCUGGGGCGCAAACGGGAUUAGAUACCCGUGUAGU
RNAcentral lists this ribosomal RNA (414 nucleotides) under uncultured microorganism. Its description in RNAcentral is "bacterial SSU rRNA". It matches the Rfam family "Archaeal small subunit ribosomal RNA", at positions 330 to 745 of the family's 1478-position model. The record is from RNAcentral.